This 4386-nucleotide long non-coding RNA is filed under the name Phocoena sinus (vaquita). Its description in RNAcentral is "lncRNA (ENSPSNG00000016953.1)". Lineage: Eukaryota; Metazoa; Chordata; Mammalia; Artiodactyla; Phocoenidae. The record is from RNAcentral.
UACAGUAUUGUUAACUAUAAUCACCAUGCUAUACAUUAGAUCCCCAGAAUUUAUUCAUUUUAUAAUUGGAAAUGUUUACCCUUUGACCAACAUUUCCCGCACACCCCAGCGCCUGGCAACCAUUCUACUCUUUGUUUCUAUGAAUUUGGCCUUUUAAGAUUCUACAUAUAAGUGAUAUCAUACAGUAUUUGUCUUUCUCUUUCUGACUUAUUUAACUUAGCGUAAUGCCCUCAAGGUCCAUCCAUUAUUGUCACAAUGGUAAGAUUUCUUUCUUUCUUAUGGCUGAAUAAUAUAAAGAACUCUAUACAUAUGGUUCUCUCUGAUUGAAAUCCUUCCCCUGACCUGCAUGCAUAUUUCUACUCCUCCUUUAAGAAUCUGCUCAUAUGACUCCUUUCCGAAACCUUUCCUGAUGACCCCCUGCAAAUUUGGGUAUAAUUUCCACUGUGCUAUCAUUGGCCUUGUCUGGGGCUCCAUUACAGCGGAUAACGCUUUAUUUACAUAGCUGUAAACUCUGUGAGGGCAGGAAUAGUCUUUGAAUCCAGGGUCUCUGAAAGAUCCAGAGAGAGAGCUUUAUCUCUUCCAUUUUUUAAGUUCUUCAUGUAUUAAAAAUGAUUGAAAUCCAAAGCAGAAUUCUAAUAAUUUUGGUAUAUUUAAAAUAUUUACCUUAACAAAUUCAUUUUGUAAUAUGAAAAUGACUGUAUUUAGGACAAGCCACACGAUCAUCUCAGUAGAUGCAGAAAAAAAAUUUGACAAGUCCAUCAUAAAAACACUCAACAAACUAGAAGUAGAACUUCCUCAGCCUGGUAAAGGGCAUCUAUAAAAAUCCCCGUAGCUAACAUUAUACUUAAUGGUGAAAAACAACUGAAAGCUUUCCCUCUAAUAUCAAGAAUAAGAGAAAGUUGGUCAUUCUCAACACUUCUGUUCACCAUUGUACUAGAAGUUCUAGCCAGAGCAAAUAGACAAGAAAAAGAAAUAAAAGAUAUUCAGAUUGAAAAGGAAGUAGAACUAUUUGCAGAUAACAUGAUCUUGUAUAUAGAAAAUGCUAAGGUAGUCACAAAAAAAACUAUUAUAACUAAUAAAUGAGUUGAAGAUUGUAGGAUGCAAGAUCAAUGGAUAUAGGGUUUCUUUUAGGAGUGAUAAAAUAUUCUGAAAUUAGACUGUGGUGAUGGUUGCCCAACUCUGUGAAUACACUAAAAACCACUGACUUGAACACUUUAAAAAAGUGAAUUUUAUAGUAUGUGAAUUAUAUGUCAAAAGAGUUGGUUUUUUUUUUUUUUAAUGACUACAUUUAUAACUUCAUGUGUAAAUAAGGAUAAAAGGCUAAUUUGAAGCCCUUUGUGAUUGUCAGUCUUGGGCCAAAGAUUUUCCUGUCCUUUUUUUCCCCAACUUGUGAAAGACUCUAUUUUCUGCUCUGUAUUCCUGGUGUUACCAGCCAGGGUUCUUGGCCUCCUUAAUCAGUAGAAGUUGAUCAGAGUCCAGACAAGAAAUUCAGGCAAGGCUUUAUUGGGGCCCCUGCUGCAGCAGUGGGCAGUGAGAACAAACAACAGGUUCCCUUGCUUGUUGGCUCCCUGAGGGGGGGCAAGCUUGUUUCUUACAUGGGGUGAGGGUAGGGGUGUGUCCAGAGCUCCGGCCAGAGGGGUGGCUUAGGUGUUUUGCCCACCCCUUAGGUGGUGGUGUGGGCAGGGGGCAUCCGCAGGACCCUGCUUUUGCUCCAGGCUCUUCAAAAGUGGCAGUUGGGUUUUUUGGUCUCUUUGUAUCUUUUGGGUCCAGAAUUUACCCUAACUGCAGGCAUGCAAUUAUUUUUAGUCCCAGACAGUGUCUUUGUAUUUUGUUGCUGAAGGAGAGGUGUGUCCAGGUACAAGCACUGCAGCACUGCAGCAAAGGGUCCCAGGUCCCAGCCUGUCUCACUGGUGCCCAGCACAAUGCCAGACAAAUAGUAUAAGUUCAAUAAAUAUUUGUAGAAUAAAUGAAUAAAUUAUGACAGCUGAACUGACUUUAAGCCUAGUUCAGCAAAUCAGCUACAUUUCUGAGGUUUUUUUCUCUAUCACCAAGGAUCCAUGAAUUUAGUGACAGUCACAGAAAUUAUAGACUGGCCCUAUGAUGAGUUUGGUUUUAGCCCUAUAGAGCAACUUUUAAAGAAGACAGAAUGGUCAGUUAUGACUGGUAGACUAGAUAAAGCUCUUUCCAAAAAAAGAUCUAUGAACUGAGCUGAACAUGAACAUAAGUAAGAGUUUUUAAAAUUAAGAUAAAUAUACAAAAACAAUUAAAAAAAAAACAAUAACAAAAUAAAAGAAAUUUAAUUCACCUGUAAUCCUAUCUGCCUAUCCUUUCUGUUUACAUGCAUAUAUAAUUUUGCAGGAAUAUAACUGUUAGCAUUAAAAUUAUUUUGUAUUCUGCUUUCUUUUAAUUAACCUUGUUUCAUAAGCAUUUAUCCAUGUUGCUGCUUAGGCUUUAUGGUUUAUGGCUUAGUGUAUUCUAUUCAGUUGUUGAAAUAUCCUCACUGGUAGUCCUUUAACAUCUUUAAAACUUCAUUGAUAUUACAAUCAUUCUUUUAAAAAUGUACUCACCUAGUAAUGAACCUAACUCUGAAUAAUAACCCCUUACCUUUUCUUUGUCUGUACUUAAACAGCUAGAGAAAAUUGUACAGUCCAGUAGAUUUAGUAUCACUUUCAUCAUCACCAAACUUAUGCUGGCCAGCGGUCUUACUAUAUUUCUGUUACAAGGUUAUUCCUCUACUCUUUAUAACAAAUAUUUUAUACCUUCACUAUCCUCCUCAACCUCUGACCCUCCCAUCUUCCUUCCAUAUACUCUAUGAUGACCUUGACUCAUAUACCUCAAAGAAAAAGGAAGCCAUCAAACAUGAACUUUCUUACUUCCUACCACCAAUCUGCAAAUCUGUCUAUAGCCAUCCUCUCUUCACUAGUUGCAUGGAGGAGUACCUCACCUCUUAACAAAAGCUAAUCUCUCCCUGGUGAACUGGAUUGCAUACCGUCUAUUGUUUAGCUGUUUUGAGAUGUUUUUAUACAGCAGAGAGUAUUAAACCUAAAUGAUAUACUUUGUAAACUACCCCAAACAAACCUAUACUCUGAGUAAAAACACUGAUUGCUAUACAAAUGGAACUUCAAGACAAUUCCCUGAUGCCACCCCACUUCCACGCACCUCUUUUGAUUUGUUUGCUGAUCCUAAGUUCAACCUAUAUAGAAAUCCUUUUUUUUUUUUAAUUUAUUUUUUUUAUUUAUUAUUUUUGGCUCAUUUUGCUGAAGCAUAUUCCGUAUGAAUAUGCUGAAGCAUAUUCAGCAGGAUACAUGGUAGGAACAUUUUUGAAAUGAAUGUCUCAAAGUAUAUAUAUUUGAACUCUCACAGUUGAUAAUUUGGCUGUGCAUGAAACCUUAGGCUAGAAAUCAAUUUCUCUCAGAAAUCUGAAAUCUGCUUACUAAUUAGAUUCCAUCAUUGUUAAGCCGAAUGCCAUUCUGAUUUCUAUUUGUAUGUAAACUUUUUAAAUUAAUUAAUUAAUCAAUUAAUUUAUUUUUGGCUGCGUUGGGUCUUCGUUGCGGUGCGCAGGCUUCUCAUUGCGGUGGCUUCUCUUGUUGUGGAGCACGGGUUCCAGAGCACGCGGGCUUCAGUAGAUGCGGCGCAUGGGCUCAGUAGUUGUGACUCAUGGGCUCUUAGAGCACAGGCUCAGUAGUUGUGGCGCACGGGCUUAGUUCCUCCGCGGCAUGUGGGAUCUUCACGGACCAGGGCUCGAACCUGUGUCCCCUACAUUGGCAGGCGAAUUCUUAACCACUGCGCCACCAGGGAAGCCCUAUAUAGAAAUUCUUGAGCCACUACUGCUUCUCAGGGAUGUUGCUUCAUCAUUUAAUUCCUCCUUUCUAAACCUUCAACAUCAGUGGAGGCAAAGUUAUAAAAAAAUAAAAGAAAGAGUACCAAGUGUAUUUCCCAGACACAAGUCUCCAAAUUGAAAGGGCCCACUGAGUGCCCAGCACAACAAAUAAAAAUAGCCUACCCCAGGGUACCUCAUCAUAAAAAUCUAGAAAAUUAGGGAUAUAGAGAAAUUUUUAAUCUGUCCUUUUUUUUAAAAGUUUACAUACAGGGACUUCCCAACAAGAAAGAAGAAAUCAUGGGAUCUAGAACACAGGGCAACUAACAGAAGAGAGGCAAAGGCAAUUCCUAGCUGAUGAGAGAGACAAGUCCAGCAUGAAGUGGUGUUGUAAGCCAGAGAGGAGAGUCAAUUCAGAAUGUAUCAGAAAAGAAAGUUCCAGAAGGAUUAUGUUCUGGGGGGAAACAAAAAGGAACUGUGUUUGACCAUAUGGAAAGUUAGAUUUAGAUUGAGAGCAAUUUUUACCAUUCCACUAGAGAAUUUGUGAAGAUUUAGGGACAAAUAUAUAG